GUGCGUGUAGUAUAACCCAAUACAAUGGCCCUUCACUCCAUAAAUUUGAUACCUCCAUCAACUCGCACA
Molecule: transfer RNA, 69 nt
Filed under: Paralvinella sulfincola
Lineage: Eukaryota; Metazoa; Annelida; Polychaeta; Terebellida; Alvinellidae
Description: tRNA-Glu
Source: RNAcentral